This 218-nucleotide unclassified non-coding RNA is filed under the name Hevea brasiliensis (rubber tree). Lineage: Eukaryota; Viridiplantae; Streptophyta; Magnoliopsida; Malpighiales; Euphorbiaceae. The record is from RNAcentral.
AAGUGAAGCACAUAAACUCACACUUUUAAAUACAUACAAUCAUGUUCCAUUCAAAUAUAUCAUAAACAAUUUGAAUUCCCUGCAUACCACACAAUGAAAUGGACUCUUCACUCCCUUCCAUUUCCAUUUGAAAAGCAAACGGAAUAGGCAUCGCGCUUCUCAAUUUUGGUAAAGGAAAUAAAAAUGAAGCAUAUAAAGAUCAACAAGAAGACCGCAAU